RNAcentral lists this ribosomal RNA (518 nucleotides) under uncultured Gammaproteobacteria bacterium. RNAcentral's name for it is "bacterial SSU rRNA". It matches the Rfam family "Bacterial small subunit ribosomal RNA", at positions 9 to 521 of the family's 1533-position model. Lineage: Bacteria; Pseudomonadati; Pseudomonadota; Gammaproteobacteria. The record is from RNAcentral.
GAGUUUGAUCAUGGCUCAGAUUGAACGCUGGCGGCGUGCUUAACACAUGCAAGUCGAGCGGUAACAGGUGUAGCAAUACAUGCUGACGAGCGGCGAACGGGUGAGUAAUGCUUCGGAAUCUGCCCUGUAGUGGGGAAUAACCAGCCGAAAGGUUGGCUAAUACCGCAUACGAACUACGGUUGAAAGCGGGGGAUCGCAAGACCUCGCGCUAUAGGAUGAGCCGAAGUCGGAUUAGCUAGUUGGUAGGGUAACGGCCUACCAAGGCGACAAUCCGUAGCUGGUCUGAGAGGACGACCAGCCACACUGGGACUGAGACACGGCCCAGACUCCUACGGGAGGCAGCAGUGGGGAAUAUUGGACAAUGGGGGCAACCCUGAUCCAGCGACGCCGCGUGUGUGAAGAAGGCCUGCGGGUUGUAAAGCACUUUUAGUGGGGAUGAAAAGCGCGAGGCUAACACCGUCGCGUCUUGACCUAACCCAAGAAAAAGCACCGGCUAACUCUGUGCCAGCCGCCGCCGU